UCCGAAUUGGUGUAGUGGCCAACAUUUGACGCUCUCAUCUGCCUUCUCGGCCCUCUCACCAGAGGUUGGUUGAGGAGGAGUGCCAGUGCCGUCAAGCCCGGGGUUCGAUUCCCCGAUUCGGAG
Molecule: non-coding RNA, 123 nt
Organism: Xylaria longipes
Lineage: Eukaryota; Fungi; Ascomycota; Sordariomycetes; Xylariales; Xylariaceae
Source: the annotation of a GenBank genome assembly